AGUGAACGCUGGCGGUAGGCUUAACACAUGCAAGUCGAACGGCAGCACAGUAAGAGCUUGCUCUUACGGGUGGCGAGUGGCGGACGGGUGAGGAAUACAUCGGAAUCUACUUUUUCGUGGGGGAUAACGUAGGGAAACUUACGCUAAUACCGCAUCCGACCUACGGGUGAAAGCAGGGGAUCUUCGGACCUUGCGCGAUUGAAUGAGCCGAUGUGGGAGUAGCUAGUUGGCGGGGUGAAGGCCCACCCAGGCGACGAUCCGUAGCUGGUCUGAGAGGAUGGUCAGCCACACGGGAACUGAGACACGGUCCAGACUCCUACGGGAGGCAGCAGUGGGGAAUAUUGGACAAUGGGCGCAAGCCUGAUCCAGCCAUACCGCGUGGGUGAAGAAGGCCUUCGGGUUGUAAAGCCCUUUUGUUGGGAAAGAAAAGCAGCAGGUUAAUACCCCGCUGUUCUGACGGUACCCAAAGAAUAAGCACCGGCUAACUUCGUG
RNAcentral lists this ribosomal RNA (492 nucleotides) under uncultured bacterium. RNAcentral's name for it is "partial 16S ribosomal RNA". It matches the Rfam family "Bacterial small subunit ribosomal RNA", at positions 29 to 507 of the family's 1533-position model. The record is from RNAcentral.